CUAGCUGUAAACGAUGAGCACUGGGUUGAGGGGACUUCCACAUCCUCUCGGCCGUAGCGAAAGCGUUAAGUGCUCCGCCUGGGGAGUAUGGCCGCAAGGCUGAAACUCAAAGGAAUUGACGGGGGCUCACACAAGCGGUGGAGGAUGUGGCUUAAUUCGAGGCUACGCGAAGAACCUUAUCCUAGGCUUGACAUGGUUGAGAAUCUCCUUGAAAGAGGAGAGUGCCCUUCGGGGAGCUCUUUCACAGGUGC
RNAcentral lists this ribosomal RNA (251 nucleotides) under uncultured Rhodopirellula sp. Its description in RNAcentral is "partial 16S ribosomal RNA". It matches the Rfam family "Bacterial small subunit ribosomal RNA", at positions 796 to 1041 of the family's 1533-position model. The record is from RNAcentral. Lineage: Bacteria; Pseudomonadati; Planctomycetota; Planctomycetia; Pirellulales; Pirellulaceae.